GAUGAACGCUGGCGGCGUGCCUAAUACAUGCAAGUCGAGCGGACAGACGAGGAGCUUGCUCCUCUGACGUUAGCGGCGGACGGGUGAGUAACACGUGGAUAACCUACCUAUAAGACUGGGAUAACUUCGGGAAACCGGAGCUAAUACCGGAUAAUAUAUUGAACCGCAUGGUUCAAUAGUGAAAGACGGUUUUGCUGUCACUUAUAGAUGGAUCCGCGCCGCAUUAGCUAGUUGGUAAGGUAACGGCUUACCAAGGCAACGAUGCGUAGCCGACCUGAGAGGGUGAUCGGCCACACUGGAAGUGAGACACGGUCCAGACUCCUACGGGAGGCAGCAGUAGGGAAUCUUCCGCAAUGGGCGAAAGCCUGACGGAGCAACGCCGCGUGAGUGAUGAAGGUCUUCGGAUCGUAAAACUCUGUUAUUAGGGAAGAACAAAUGUGUAAGUAACUAUGCACGUCUUGACGGUACCUAAUCAGAAAGCCACGGCUAACUACGUG
Molecule: ribosomal RNA, 497 nt
Filed under: uncultured bacterium
Lineage: Bacteria
Description: partial 16S ribosomal RNA
Rfam family: Bacterial small subunit ribosomal RNA
Source: RNAcentral